This 460-nucleotide ribosomal RNA is filed under the name uncultured bacterium. RNAcentral describes it as "partial 16S ribosomal RNA". It matches the Rfam family "Bacterial small subunit ribosomal RNA", at positions 338 to 795 of the family's 1533-position model. The record is from RNAcentral.
CCUACGGGUGGCAGCAGUGAGGAAUAUUGGUCAAUGGGCGAGAGCCUGAACCAGCCAAGUCGCGUGAGGGAGUACUGCCCUACGGGUUGUAAACUUCUUUUAUAAAGGCAUAAAGUGAGGCACGUGUGCCUUUUUGUAUGUACUUUAUGAAUAAGGAUCGGCUAACUCCGGGCCAGCAGCCGCGGUAAUACGGAGGAUCCGAGCGUUAUCCGGAUUUAUUGGGUUUAAAGGGAGCGUAGAUGGGUUGUUAAGUCAGUUGUGAAAGUUUGCGGCUCAACCGUAAAAUUGCAAUUGAUACUGGCAGCCUUGAGUACAGUUGAGGUAGGCGGAAUUCGUGGUGUAGCGGUGAAAUGCUUAGAUAUCACGAAGAACUCCGAUUGCGAAGGCAGACUACUAAACUGCCACUGACAUUGAUGCUCGAAAGUGUGGGUAUCAAACAGGAUUAGAUACCCUAGUAGUC